UGCCAUCAUUAUUUUGUUUUUCAUUUGACAAAUCUGAAAAUCAAUGCUUUGUGGAUUAAUAUUCGUUCGUUAUUGUUAAAUUGUAACCACAGAUGAAUACCAAAAAUGAAAUGAAAAAAAUACCUACAACAUGUACAAGGUUUUUAUUACUAUAAUAUAAAAAUCUUUUUUUGCAAAAUAACACUGUUAACAUGGUCAGGAUCUAUGCAAUACAUACAAACAAUACAAUAAAAAAAAACAAUACAAUGGAAUACAAUAUAACAUAUUUUAAGAAACAGUUCAAUCAACAAAUGCAUGUACAUACACAUAUAAAAACUUGUCUAACAUGAGUCUGCCCCUCAGUUCUAAAGACUGCUAAAUGAAGACUUCAAUAUGACAAAAACAAACAGAUUGGAGGGGCGGGGGUGAAUUGAUUUUAAUUUACUAAAUGCAUCAAGAUGUUAUAAAAAUGGUCCAUAGUAUUUUAGAUAAGAAAACAAAUUUGAACGCAAAUCUAUUUUAAUGUUACCAUCGAAUAAGAUGGAAUUCGUCAUCUAGGAAACUAUAUUUUUUACAUGAUGGUUGCGUUUUUGGAAUAUUUCUGUAUCUACCAAAUGCAAUACCAAGGGAAUAAUCACAAUGUCUAAAUUUUGACAGUAAAUUCUUAUGGAAAACAUAAUUGCAAUUCAAAUAUUACUCACACUGACAUCUAGUUUUGAAUUUCUCAUAAAGACAACCUUUUGAUGAGGAAUUCAUUCGAUUUAUCAUUUUUUU
This 753-nucleotide long non-coding RNA is filed under the name Mytilus galloprovincialis (Mediterranean mussel). The record is from RNAcentral. Lineage: Eukaryota; Metazoa; Mollusca; Bivalvia; Mytilida; Mytilidae.